AGAGGAGAUGGGAAGAGAGGAGAGGAGAUGGGAAGAGAGGAGAGAGGAGAGGAGAUGGGAAGAGAGAGGAGAAGAGGAGAGGAGAUGGGAAGAGAGAGGAGGAGAGGAGAUGGGAAGGGAGAGGAGAAGAGAGGAGAUGGGAAGAGAGAGGAGAAGAGGAGAGGAGAGGAGAUGGGAAGAGAGAGGAGGAGAGGAGAUGGGAAGGGAGAGGAGAAGCCGAAAGUGCAGAUAGGAGUGGAAUGGUAGAGGAGAGGAAUGAGAGGAUGAGAGAAGGGGGUGGAAUGGAGAGGAGAGGAAUGAGAGAAGGGGGUGGAAUGGAGAGGAGAGGAAUGGGAGGAUGAGAUAAGGGGGUGGAAUGGAGAGGAGAGGAAUGAGAGAAGGGGUGGAAUGGAGAGGAGAGGAAUGAGAGGAUGAGAGAAGGGGGUGGAAUGGAGAGGAGAGGAAUGAGAGGAAUGACCUGUUUGGGCAGUGGAGUGUGGCUGGUUGCCAGGGAGACCUAACGAGACGAGGCCUAACGAGCUUAAUGGCAACACCACGUCUCCAUGGCAACAUGUCUCAAGCUUGGCCCCGCCCACACUAAAUGGCAGUGUGACGCUGCUAACAGGCUAGCAGGCUAGCAGGCAUGGAGUACAGUACAGACAUGGCAUGGAUGCUAACGAUGCUAUCCUGCAUACUAGUGGUGUCAACAAUAAUCGAUUUGGCGAUCCAAUGCAAUGUGGGGCAUGGACGAUCCGAUUCAAUGCGGCAAGUUCCAGAAUCGAUGCUGCAAAUUUUUAAAGUUUCAAUUACUUCCGUGGAUAUUUCGGGGAGCAAAUGAAUGUUAAAUUAAAUAAAAGCACUUGAAAGCAUUGAAAACUGCAAGACUGAUACAGAAAACAGCCAAUAAAUUGUUGCUCAGUAUCCGACUACUUGUAUUGCCUCAUCAUGACUGAUGAAACAUUUGCUUUGCUUUCAGUAGAAAUGUAAUGCAUUGCAAUGCAUUGUAGAAUUGAAUCGGAUCGAAUUGAAUCGAAUCGAACCACUACCUCCCGAUUCGUAAUGGAAACAGAUCGUGAGGACAGUGCUAAUGCACAUCACUACUGUAUACUGUCUACAUGUCAUGUGGCUAUGCUAAGAUGCUAUCAUGUACUGUAUAGGCCUACAGGGCAUGGAUGCUAACGAUGCUAUCCUGUCUACAUGUCAUGUGACUAUGCUAAGAGGUAUCAAAGUGCUUCAACACCCACACUACACUCACACACUUCUCUCCAGCCAUCUGGUCAUGACACGAACGAUAACAUGACGAACACACAAGGGGGGGGCGGGGUUGGGGUUGUUGGCAUGUGAGUAUGUGUGUGUAUGGGGGGGAGGGGCUGGGUUUGAAAUGCUGGCGCUUAAUACUCCUGAGAUCAGACAUGGAGGAGAAGAGACGAGAGGAGAAAAGAGGAGAGAGGAGGAGGAAAAGAGA
This is a long non-coding RNA of Engraulis encrasicolus (European anchovy), 1444 nucleotides long. RefSeq lists it as uncharacterized. Lineage: Eukaryota; Metazoa; Chordata; Actinopteri; Clupeiformes; Engraulidae. The transcript has 2 exons. The record is from RefSeq and is a predicted model, not a curated record.